RNAcentral lists this ribosomal RNA (357 nucleotides) under Haptophyta environmental samples. RNAcentral's name for it is "SSU rRNA". It matches the Rfam family "Eukaryotic small subunit ribosomal RNA", at positions 595 to 957 of the family's 1831-position model. The record is from RNAcentral. Lineage: Eukaryota; Haptophyta.
UAGCGUAUAUUAAAGUUGUUGCAGUUAGAACGCUCGUAGUCGGAUUUCGGGGUGGGUCGACCGGUCUGCCGAUGGGUACGCACUGGUCGACGCGCUCUUCCUUCCGGAGACCGUCUCACUCUUAACUGAGCGGAGGCGGGAGACGGAACGUUUACUUUGAAAAAAUCAGAGUGUUUCAAGCAGGCAGCUCGCUCUUGCAUGGAUUAGCAUGGGAUAAUGAAAUAGGACUUUGGUGCUAUUUUGUUGGUUUCGAACACCGAAGUAAUGAUGAGAAGGGACAGUCAGGGGCACUCGUAUUCCGCCGAGAGAGGUGAAAUUCUCAGACCAGCGGAAGACGAACCACUGCGAAAGCAUUUG